RNAcentral lists this ribosomal RNA (253 nucleotides) under uncultured bacterium. RNAcentral's name for it is "partial 16S ribosomal RNA". It matches the Rfam family "Bacterial small subunit ribosomal RNA", at positions 524 to 776 of the family's 1533-position model. The record is from RNAcentral.
GACAGAGGGUGCAAGCGUUGUUCGGAAUCAUUGGACGUAAAGGGCGCGUAGGCGGUUUUGUAAGUCGAAUGUGAAAGCCCAGGGCUCAACCUUGGAAGUGCAUCCGAAACUGCGAAACUUGAAUCCUGGAGAGGGUGGUGGAAUUCCCAGUGUAGAGGUGAAAUUCGUAGAUAUUGGGAGGAACACCGGUGGCGAAGGCGACCACCUGGACAGAGAUUGACGCUGAGGCGCGAGAGCGUGGGGAGCAAACAGG